RNAcentral lists this ribosomal RNA (497 nucleotides) under uncultured bacterium. RNAcentral describes it as "partial 16S ribosomal RNA". It matches the Rfam family "Bacterial small subunit ribosomal RNA", at positions 28 to 507 of the family's 1533-position model. The record is from RNAcentral.
GAUGAACGCUGGCGGCGUGCCUAAUACAUGCAAGUCGAGCGAACGGACGAGAAGCUUGCUUCUCUGAUGUUAGCGGCGGACGGGUGAGUAACACGUGGAUAACCUACCUAUAAGACUGGGAUAACUUCGGGAAACCGGAGCUAAUACCGGAUAAUAUUUUGAACCGCAUGGUUCAAAAGUGAAAGACGGUCUUGCUGUCACUUAUAGAUGGAUCCGCGCUGCAUUAGCUAGUUGGUAAGGUAACGGCUUACCAAGGCAACGAUGCAUAGCCGACCUGAGAGGGUGAUAGGCCACACUGGAGCUGAGACACGGUCAAGACUACUACGGGAGGCAGCAGUAGGGAAUCUUACGCAAUGGGCGAAAGCCUGACGGAGCAACGCCGCGUGAGUGAUGAAGGUCUUCGGAUCGUAAAACUCUGUUAUUAGGGAAGAACAUAUGUGUAAGUAACUGUGCACAUCUUGACGGUACCUAAUCAGAAAGCCACGGCUAACUACGUG